This 494-nucleotide ribosomal RNA is filed under the name uncultured bacterium. Its description in RNAcentral is "bacterial SSU rRNA". It matches the Rfam family "Bacterial small subunit ribosomal RNA", at positions 28 to 507 of the family's 1533-position model. The record is from RNAcentral.
GAUGAACGCUAGCUACAGGCUUAACACAUGCAAGUCGAGGGGAAACGACAUCGAAAGCUUGCUUUUGAUGGGCGUCGACCGGCGCACGGGUGAGUAACGCGUAUCCAACCUGCCCACCACUUGGGGAUAACCUUGCGAAAGUAAGACUAAUACCCGAUGAUAUCCCUAGACGACAUCUGAAAGGGAUUAAAGAUUUAUCGGUGAUGGAUGGGGAUGCGUCUGAUUAGCUUGUUGGCGGGGUAACGGGCCCACCAAGGCUACGAUCAGUAGGGGUUCUGAGAGGAAGGUCCCCCACAUUGGAACUGAGACACGGUCCAAACUCCUACGGGAGGCAGCAGUGAGGAAUAUUGGUCAAUGGGCGAGAGCCUGAACCAGCCAAGUAGCGUGCAGGAUGACGGCCCUAUGGGUUGUAAACUGCUUUUAUAGGGGAAUAAAGUGAGCCACGUGUGGUUUUUUGUCAUGUACCCUAUGAAUAAGGACCGGCUAAUUCCGUG